Molecule: ribosomal RNA, 407 nt
Filed under: uncultured fungus
Lineage: Eukaryota; Fungi
Description: eukaryotic LSU rRNA
Rfam family: 5.8S ribosomal RNA (bases 1-125)
Source: RNAcentral
GCAUCGAUGAAGAACGCAGCAAACUGCGAUAAGUAAUGUGAAUUGCAGAAUUUAGUGAAUCAUCGAAUCUUUGAACGCAAAUGGCGCACUUGGGCAUUCCCAGGAGCACAUCUGUCUGAGCGUCGUUUCUCACAUCCCUCCUCCAAGGAGGGGUCAUGAGGUGUCCCUUUGCUCUCCCGCGAACGGUCCCUUGAAGUGAAGCGAACCCGAGCGAGCGGAAGCCCUUCGUGGCCCGUUCUCCUCGGUGUGGUAGAUAAUAUCUCACCGGAGGGACGAGCGACGGAGCCGUGGAAGCCUGCUAAAAGGUCGUCUGGACAGGAGGACUCCCUUCUGGGGAGUUCGACCAACCAAGACCUCAGAUCAGGUGAGACUACCCGCUGAACUUAAGCAUAUCAAUAAGCGGAGGA